GAUGAACGCUGGCGGCGUGCCUAAUACAUGCAAGUCGAGCGAACAGACUAUGAGCUUGCUCCUCUGACGUUAGCGGCGGACGGGUGAGUAACACGUGGAUAACCUACCUAUAAGACUGGGAUAACUUCGGGAAACCGGAGCUAAUGCCGGAUAAUAUAUUGCACCGCAUGGUUCAAUAGUGAAAGACGGUUUUGCUGUCACUUAUAGAUGGAUCCGCGCCGCAUUAGCUAGUUGGUAAGGUAACGGCUUACCAAGGCAACGAUGCGUAGCCGACCUGAGAGGGUGAUCGGCCACAUUGGAACUGAGACACGGUCCAGACUCCUACGGGAGGCAGCAGUAGGGAAUCUUCCGCAAUGGGCGAAAGCCUGACGGAGCAACGCCGCGUGAGUGAUGAAGGUCUUCGGAUCGUAAAACUCUGUUAUUAGGGAAGAACAAAUGUGUAAGUAACUAUGCACGUCUUGACGGUACCUAAUCAGAAAGCCACGGCUAACUACGUG
RNAcentral lists this ribosomal RNA (497 nucleotides) under uncultured bacterium. RNAcentral's name for it is "partial 16S ribosomal RNA". It matches the Rfam family "Bacterial small subunit ribosomal RNA", at positions 28 to 507 of the family's 1533-position model. The record is from RNAcentral.